This 253-nucleotide ribosomal RNA is filed under the name uncultured bacterium. RNAcentral describes it as "partial 16S ribosomal RNA". It matches the Rfam family "Bacterial small subunit ribosomal RNA", at positions 524 to 776 of the family's 1533-position model. The record is from RNAcentral.
UACAGAGGGGGCGAGCGUUAUUCGGAAUUAUUGGGCGUAAAGAGCGUGUAGGCGGUUUGGUAGGUCCGCUGUGAAAACUCGAGGCUCAACCUCGAGACGCCGGUGGAAACCAUCAGGCUAGAGUCCGGAAGAGGAGAGUGGAAUUCCUGGUGUAGCGGUGAAAUGCGCAGAUAUCAGGAGGAACACCCGUGGCGAAAGCGGCUCUCUGGGACGGUACUGACGCUGAGACGCGAAAGCGUGGGGAGCAAACAGG